AGUGAACGCUGGCGGUAGGCCUAACACAUGCAAGUCGAACGGCAGCACAGUAAGAGCUUGCUCUUACGGGUGGCGAGUGGCGGACGGGUGAGGAAUACAUCGGAAUCUACUUUUUCGUGGGGGAUAACGUAGGGAAACUUACGCUAAUACCGCAUACGACCUACGGGUGAAAGCAGGGGAUCUUCGGACCUUGCGCGAUUGAAUGAGCCGAUGUCGGAUUAGCUAGUUGGCGGGGUAAAGGCCCACCAAGGCGACGAUCCGUAGCUGGUCUGAGAGGAUGAUCAGCCACACUGGAACUGAGACACGGUCCAGACUCCUACGGGAGGCAGCAGUGGGGAAUAUUGGACAAUGGGCGCAAGCCUGAUCCAGCCAUACCGCGUGGGUGAAGAAGGCCUUCGGGUUGUAAAGCCCUUUUGUUGGGAAAGAAAAGCAGCAGGUUAAUACAUCGCUGUCCUGACGGUACCCAAAGAGUAAGCACCGGCUAACUUCGUG
Molecule: ribosomal RNA, 492 nt
Filed under: uncultured bacterium
Lineage: Bacteria
Description: partial 16S ribosomal RNA
Rfam family: Bacterial small subunit ribosomal RNA
Source: RNAcentral